UGGAAUGAUUCUAGGCUUUGUUCUCGACGACUUGUGGCGUACAUUCUUACAAAUUGAGCCUAUAUUUGUCUUGAUCAUCAAUUAAUUCAUAGUUUCUUUUAUUGACAUGAGUUACCUACGCUCGAAGAUUAUAUAUUUUUGGAUAUAAGAAUUUUUCAACCAAACUGAGUCUUGAACCUUUGAGAGAAAAUACUCUGCAAAGAAACAAACCAUGUAAAAAUCUAGACCCAUAAACGAAAACAAAGUAAGAAGCUGCGAGGAAAGCAAACCAAAACAACAAUUCAUCUACCUGUCUCGUUGCCUCGGUCAUCACGGCCAUUAUUAGCUGCAGGAACAGAUUCUUCAUCCCCAAAAAUAUAAUGUACAAAAAAUUAUUAUAGUUAAAAAGCUGUGAGGAAAGCAACAUGUAUAGAUACAAAAUGAUGAAAUAUAAAUCCAAAUAAGAUGAGUAACCAAAACCUAGCGGUAGAACUCCAUCAUUACCUGCAAGGAGAAGAGAAUGAUCA
RNAcentral lists this long non-coding RNA (506 nucleotides) under Capsella rubella. Its description in RNAcentral is "long non-coding RNA (CRUB_LNC003702)". Lineage: Eukaryota; Viridiplantae; Streptophyta; Magnoliopsida; Brassicales; Brassicaceae. The record is from RNAcentral.